AACGGUUAGAGGAAGAUCCUGGCUCAGGACGAACGCUGGCGGCGUGCAUAAUACAUGCAAGUCGAACGCUUUUUCUUUCACCGGAGCUUGCUCCACCGAAAGAAAAAGAGUGGCGAACGGGUGAGUAACACGUGGGUAACCUGCCCAUCAGAAGGGGAUAACACUUGGAAACAGGUGCUAAUACCGUAUAACACUAUAUUCCGCAUGGAAGAAAGUUGAAAGGCGCUUUUGCGUCACUGAUGGAUGGACCCGCGGUGCAUUAGCUAGUUGGUGAGGUAACGGCUCACCAAGGCAACGAUGCAUAGCCGACCUGAGAGGGUGAUCGGCCACACUGGGACUGAGACACGGCCCAGACUCCUACGGGAGGCAGCAGUAGGGAAUCUUCGGCAAUGGACGAAAGUCUGACCGACAACGCCGCGUGAGUGAAGAAGGUUUUCGGAUCUAAAACUCUGUUGUUAGAGAAAACAAGGAUGAAAGAAAAAUGUUCCUCCCUUGACGGUAUCUAACCAAAAGCCCGGUUACUACGUGCCCCGGCCGC
Molecule: ribosomal RNA, 538 nt
Filed under: uncultured bacterium
Lineage: Bacteria
Description: bacterial SSU rRNA
Rfam family: Bacterial small subunit ribosomal RNA
Source: RNAcentral